CCUUCUCUCUGUUUUUGGCUGGUCGGGGCGGGCGGGAGCCGCCCUGGGCUGGGAUCACAUGAUAUUGUCUUCGCGCCACUUUCGUAAAACCCUUUUUAUUCCAGGCAGGGCUGCGCUCGGGCUCAAAGGUACCGCUGGCUCCUGCGCUUCGCUCGAGACCCUUCUGCGACGCUUUAGCUGGGCUGGAAGAAGGAGAAGACCUUUUAAAGUCGAAGAGUUUCUCUCCGGUGAUGGGCCUUGAGUUGUGCAAAAGUGCUUACAGUGCAGGUUUUUGAAAACUUCACUUAGAAAAAAACCCAACAAACAAACACCCCCAGCCCGCAGCCGAGGUGGCUGCUGGAGAAGUGUCUGAGAAGACGUUGGUCUUUGGAGCCUGGGUCAUCCUUCGCUGUGAGUGAGUUUGUGCCAUCCUGCUCCUGCUGCUGGAAACCUAAUUUCUGCCCAAAGCCAGGCCUGCGCCCGCAGAGCUGCAGCAUCUGUCGCUUUUAAAUCAACCGACAUUGUCCCAGUCAACUCCUCCUAGAUGUGCUUCUCCCUCGCUUGCUCUCUCAGGAGCUGACAGGUCACGAUGGAGUUUAAGGAUUGAAUGUGGGAAAAACAACCCCUCCACGAGCGUCAUUAUCCCGCUGAUAACAAGGGGGAAAGAAAAGGCUGUUUUUGGCUGCCGUGUCUGCUGUUUGCCUGAGGCUGCUUGGUGGUGGCGUGGAGAAGCCGUGAAUGGCAAAGCUCCUGCCGGGAUCCCCCUCUGCGUGUUGAGCCUCAGGAGAAUCUCGAUUUCCAGCUGCUCUGUCAGCUUCUGUGGGGUCUCAGCUUGUCUCCAUCGUCAUACCCUUGUGACACGGGGAGAUGCUUCACUUAGGAGCCAUCAGACCAAGAC
Long non-coding RNA from Chroicocephalus ridibundus (black-headed gull), 877 nucleotides. RefSeq lists it as uncharacterized. The transcript is spliced from 5 exons. NCBI's taxonomy places the organism in Eukaryota, Metazoa, Chordata, Aves, Charadriiformes, Laridae. The record is from RefSeq and is a predicted model, not a curated record.